This 492-nucleotide ribosomal RNA is filed under the name uncultured bacterium. Its description in RNAcentral is "partial 16S ribosomal RNA". It matches the Rfam family "Bacterial small subunit ribosomal RNA", at positions 29 to 507 of the family's 1533-position model. The record is from RNAcentral.
AGUGAACGCUGGCGGUAGGCCUAACACAUGCAAGUCGAACGGCAGCACAGUAAGAGCUUGCUCUUACGGGUGGCGAGUGGCGGACGGGUGAGGAAUACAUCGGAAUCUACUUUUUCGUGGGGGAUAACGUAUGGAAACUUACGCUAAUACCGCAUACGACCUACGGGUGAAAGCAGGGGAUCUUCGGACCUUGCGCGAUUGAAUGAGCCGAUGUCGGAUUAGCUAGUUGGCGGGGUAAAGGCCCACCAAGGCGACGAUCCGUAGCUGGUCUGAGAGGAUGAUCAGCCACACUGGAACUGAGACACGGUCCAGACUCCUACGGGAGGCAGCAGUGGGGAAUAUUGGACAAUGGGCGCAAGCCUGAUCCAGCCAUACCGCGUGGGUGAAGAAGGCCUUCGGGUUGUAAAGCCCCUUUGUUGGGAAAGAAAAGCAGCAGGUUAAUACCCCGCUGUUCUGACGGUACCCAAAGAAUAAGCACCGGCUAACUUCGUG